RNAcentral lists this unclassified non-coding RNA (21 nucleotides) under Dictyostelium discoideum. Lineage: Eukaryota; Evosea; Eumycetozoa; Dictyosteliales; Dictyosteliaceae. The record is from RNAcentral.
CGAGUCUCAGUAGAACCACCA